AUUGAACGCUGGCGGCAUGCCUUACACAUGCAAGUCGAACGGCAGCACGGGAGCUUGCUCCUGGUGGCGAGUGGCGAACGGGUGAGUAAUACAUCGGAACGUACCCUGAAGUGGGGGAUAACGUAGCGAAAGUUACGCUAAUACCGCAUAUUCUGUGAGCAGGAAAGAGGGGGAGUCGCAAGACCUCUUGCUUUAGGAGCGGCCGAUGUCGGAUUAGCUAGUUGGUGAGGUAAAGGCUCACCAAGGCGACGAUCCGUAGCGGGUCUGAGAGGAUGAUCCGCCACACUGGGACUGAGACACGGCCCAGACUCCUACGGGAGGCAGCAGUGGGGGAAUUUUGGUACAAUGGGCGCAAGCCUGAUCCAGCCAUGCCGCGUGAGUGAAGAAGGCC
This 391-nucleotide ribosomal RNA is filed under the name uncultured bacterium. Its description in RNAcentral is "bacterial SSU rRNA". It matches the Rfam family "Bacterial small subunit ribosomal RNA", at positions 30 to 416 of the family's 1533-position model. The record is from RNAcentral.